Molecule: ribosomal RNA, 495 nt
Filed under: uncultured Desulfobulbus sp.
Lineage: Bacteria; Pseudomonadati; Thermodesulfobacteriota; Desulfobulbia; Desulfobulbales; Desulfobulbaceae
Description: bacterial SSU rRNA
Rfam family: Bacterial small subunit ribosomal RNA
Source: RNAcentral
CUCAGAAACUUAAAGGAAUUGACGGGGCCCGCACAAGCGGUGGAGUAUGUGGUUUAAUUCGAUGCAACGCGAAGAACCUUACCUGGUCUUGACAUCCCGGAGACCCUUAGGAAACUAGGGGGUGCUUCCAUCUGGAAGAAUCUGGAGACAGGUGCUGCAUGGCUGUCGUCAGCUCGUGUCGUGAGAUGUUGGGUUAAGUCCCGCAACGAGCGCAACCCUUGCCUUUAGUUGCCAGCAGUUCGGCUGGGCACUCUAAAGGGACUGCCGGUGUUAAACCGGAGGAAGGUGGGGAUGACGUCAAGUCCUCAUGGCCUUUAUGACCAGGGCUACACACGUACUACAAUGGCCGAUACAAAGGGCAGCGACACUGCGAGGUGAAGCCAAUCCCGUAAAAUCGGUCUCAGUCCGGAUUGGAGUCUGCAACUCGACUCCAUGAAGUUGGAAUCGCUAGUAAUCGUGGAUCAGCAUGCCACGGUGAAUACGUUCCCGGGCCUU